Molecule: ribosomal RNA, 497 nt
Filed under: uncultured bacterium
Lineage: Bacteria
Description: partial 16S ribosomal RNA
Rfam family: Bacterial small subunit ribosomal RNA
Source: RNAcentral
GAUGAACGCUGGCGGCGUGCCUAAUACAUGCAAGUCGAGCGAACGGACGAGAAGCUUGCUUCUCUGAUGUUAGCGGCGGACGGGUGAGUAACACGUGGAUAACCUACCUAUAAGACUGGGAUAACUUCGGGAAACCGGAGCUAAUACCGGAUAAUAUUUUGAACCGCAUGGUUCAAAAGUGAAAGACGGUCUUGCUGUCACUUAUAGAUGGAUCCGCGCUGCAUUAGCUAGUUGGUAAGGUAACGGCUUACCAAGACAACGAUGCAUAGCCGACCUGAGAGGGUGAUCGGCCACACGGGAACUGAGACACGGUCCAGACUCCUACGGGAGGCAGCAGUAGGGAAUCUUCCGCAAUGGGCGAAAGCCUGACGGAGCAACGCCGCGUGAGUGAUGAAGGUCUUCGGAUCGUAAAACUCUGUUAUUAGGGAAGAACAUAUGUGUAAGUAACUGUGCACAUCUUGACGGUACCUAAUCAGAAAGCCACGGCUAACUACGUG